RNAcentral lists this ribosomal RNA (1609 nucleotides) under Salmonella enterica subsp. enterica serovar Kedougou. Its description in RNAcentral is "bacterial LSU rRNA". It matches the Rfam family "Bacterial large subunit ribosomal RNA", at positions 1221 to 2812 of the family's 2925-position model. The record is from RNAcentral. Lineage: Bacteria; Pseudomonadati; Pseudomonadota; Gammaproteobacteria; Enterobacterales; Enterobacteriaceae.
UCGUUGGGUAGGGGAGCGUUCUGUAAGCCUGCGAAGGUGGCCUGUGAGGGUUGCUGGAGGUAUCAGAAGUGCGAAUGCUGACAUAAGUAACGAUAAAGCGGGUGAAAAGCCCGCUCGCCGGAAGACCAAGGGUUCCUGUCCAACGUUAAUCGGGGCAGGGUGAGUCGACCCCUAAGGCGAGGCCGAAAGGCGUAGUCGAUGGGAAACGGGUUAAUAUUCCCGUACUUGGUGUUACUGCGAAGGGGGGACGGAGAAGGCUAUGUUGGCCGGGCGACGGUUGUCCCGGUUUAAGCGUGUAGGUGUGUGUUCCAGGUAAAUCCGGUUCACUUUAACACUGAGGCGUGAUGACGAGGCACUACGGUGCUGAAGCAACAAAUGCCCUGCUUCCAGGAAAAGCCUCUAAGCAUCAGGUAACAUCAAAUCGUACCCCAAACCGACACAGGUGGUCAGGUAGAGAAUACCAAGGCGCUUGAGAGAACUCGGGUGAAGGAACUAGGCAAAAUGGUGCCGUAACUUCGGGAGAAGGCACGCUGACAUGUAGGUGAAGUGAUUUACUCAUGGAGCUGAAGUCAGUCGAAGAUACCAGCUGGCUGCAACUGUUUAUUAAAAACACAGCACUGUGCAAACACGAAAGUGGACGUAUACGGUGUGACGCCUGCCCGGUGCCGGAAGGUUAAUUGAUGGGGUCAGCGCAAGCGAAGCUCCUGAUCGAAGCCCCGGUAAACGGCGGCCGUAACUAUAACGGUCCUAAGGUAGCGAAAUUCCUUGUCGGGUAAGUUCCGACCUGCACGAAUGGCGUAAUGAUGGCCAGGCUGUCUCCACCCGAGACUCAGUGAAAUUGAACUCGCUGUGAAGAUGCAGUGUACCCGCGGCAAGACGGAAAGACCCCGUGAACCUUUACUAUAGCUUGACACUGAACAUUGAGCCUUGAUGUGUAGGAUAGGUGGGAGGCUUUGAAGUGUGGACGCCAGUCUGCAUGGAGCCGACCUUGAAAUACCACCCUUUAAUGUUUGAUGUUCUAACGUGGACCCGUGAUCCGGGUUGCGGACAGUGUCUGGUGGGUAGUUUGACUGGGGCGGUCUCCUCCUAAAGAGUAACGGAGGAGCACGAAGGUUGGCUAAUCCUGGUCGGACAUCAGGAGGUUAGUGCAAUGGCAUAAGCCAGCUUGACUGCGAGCGUGACGGCGCGAGCAGGUGCGAAAGCAGGUCAUAGUGAUCCGGUGGUUCUGAAUGGAAGGGCCAUCGCUCAACGGAUAAAAGGUACUCCGGGGAUAACAGGCUGAUACCGCCCAAGAGUUCAUAUCGACGGCGGUGUUUGGCACCUCGAUGUCGGCUCAUCACAUCCUGGGGCUGAAGUAGGUCCCAAGGGUAUGGCUGUUCGCCAUUUAAAGUGGUACGCGAGCUGGGUUUAGAACGUCGUGAGACAGUUCGGUCCCUAUCUGCCGUGGGCGCUGGAGAACUGAGGGGGGCUGCUCCUAGUACGAGAGGACCGGAGUGGACGCAUCACUGGUGUUCGGGUUGUCAUGCCAAUGGCACUGCCCGGUAGCUAAAUGCGGAAGAGAUAAGUGCUGAAAGCAUCUAAGCACGAAACUUGCCCCGAGAUGAGUUCU